Molecule: small RNA, 218 nt
Filed under: Histoplasma capsulatum
Lineage: Eukaryota; Fungi; Ascomycota; Eurotiomycetes; Onygenales; Ajellomycetaceae
Also listed under: 1 other name
Description: hypothetical RNA
Source: RNAcentral
CCCAGCAGGACCACUGUCGGUGAUGAACACAUUUCCGGUGCAAACAAAUACGGAAUUCUAUCAAUCAACUUGGCUUGCAUCACUGAAGUUUUUUUCCCGGCCGAAAAGAGGAUAAAAGUAAAUCCACGUAUAGAAUUCACAACAAAUUCUUUACAAAGCAUCUGAGAAAAAGCUUUCUUUAGUUAGAGACUGAACCAUCCAAUUCACGCCCAUGGAUA